GAUGAACGCUGGCGGCGUGCCUAAUACAUGCAAGUCGAGCGAACAGACGAGGAGCUUGCUCCUCUGACGUUAGCGGCGGACGGGUGAGUAACACGUGGAUAACCUACCUAUAAGACUGGGAUAACUUCGGGAAACCGGAGCUAAUACCGGAUAAUAUAUUGAACCGCAUGGUUCAAUAGUGAAAGACGGUUUUGCUGUCACUUAUAGAUGGAUCCGCGCCGCAUUAGCUAGUUGGUAAGGUAACGGCUUACCAAGGCAACGAUGCGUAGCCGACCUGAGAGGGUGAUCGGCCACACUGGAACUGAGACACGGUCCAGACUCCGACGGGAGGCAGCAGUAGGGAAUCUUCCGCAAUGGGCGAAAGCCUGACGGAGCAACGCCGCGUGAGUGAUGAAGGUCUUCGGAUCGUAAAACUCUGUUAUGAGGGAAGAACAAAUGUGUAAGUAACUAUGCACGUCUUGACGGUACCUAAGCAGAAAGCCACGGCUAACUACGU
This 496-nucleotide ribosomal RNA is filed under the name uncultured bacterium. RNAcentral describes it as "partial 16S ribosomal RNA". It matches the Rfam family "Bacterial small subunit ribosomal RNA", at positions 28 to 506 of the family's 1533-position model. The record is from RNAcentral.